UCCUAUAAAUGUUCCUAGACUACCCGGCCAACCAAGGCACCUGAGAGGGGCAAACGUUCGUCCACCGUUGGAUGCAAGCGAUUCACUCCCGCUUUUCACCUCAGCCAUCCAUUGCGGUAAUUUUUUCGUCACCAGCUUUCUGCAAAUGAAUGCAUGACAAUUGGGCCCAACCAGGUGUGGAGCCGACAGGAAGAGACAGCCAGAACAGCUCGUUUGCGUAGCCUUUCUUUGUGUACGCGCGGCUCGAGACAGAGGCGACCAAUUCCGCUAGGGUUCUCGCCCGAAGCCUCAUUCGUCCGCCACUCCGCCUCCAUCCCCAGCCGCCACUCCCAUCCUGACCCACCUGCCGACGUGAGCGAGGAGGGAACGCGGGCGCCGCCGGAGAGCGGCCGCGGGGUGCUGCUGCGUGGAGCGCCGGUCACCACCGGUUGCGGGAGUCGCCGUGCGAAGAGUAGACGCUGCCGUCGCGGCUCCUCCAGAUCACCACUGGUCGCGCACGUCUCCGCCGGUGUGAAGUCAACGCCGACUCCCGCGUCUCUUCCUCGCCUUUCUGCUCAGAUCGAGCAGGGCAGGAACGGGCCGGCGGCGGCUCGUCUCUUUUCUCUCUCAAGAUCUUGCAAGGGAUAGUAUGCAAAACAAAAGCAUCUUCUCGUGGAUCUUCCAGCCAUCAAGCUUGCAGAUAGUGCAGAGGUUACAGAAGAGACCAUAUUAAUAUCAUUGAGGCGAGCCCUUGCUCAACACUCUGCUCUGCAAGCGGACGAUGGACACUGGGCUGUCGACUUCAGUGCAAUUAUGUUCAUUAUGCCUAUCUUGGUGUGUUCUUUAUUUACAUAUGGCACUAUAUUUUGAGCGACAGCGAGCGUGCCCGAGCGAGGAGAGGUCGGCGGCGGCUGGUACCCUGUGUACCCAUCAGUAAUGGUUCAACGAAUCCAACCUACACGCUUUUUAUUUUCGUUUCUUAGGUCCUUAGGCUGCUGAACGUGCCAUUGCAGACGAAGUGGGAGUCUCACAGGGAGGAGGAUCCGCCGCGCCCUCCUUGCUGCCUGUGCGCCGAGGGUGAAUUGGCGCUGCUCAGGCAGGCGGCGGGCACCAUACUUUCUUCCAGGACUGUGCCAAAAGUUGGUAUUAGGAUUUGAAGUAUUCUCCAUCUACAUGCUUCCAGGACUUCCUGCACCACCUCUCAUCUUCCUCCCGAUCAAGAUCGUGCCAAAAGUGAGGGAUUGCUCCUGGAGGUAAAGAGGACAGGAGUGGCACGGGGCAUGGACGUAGCGCGGACAUCACAGUGCCUUCCACACGCGCGCCACCAUGAGAUAUUAUAUGGAGAAGCAGCAUCCGACGAGGGUUCUGAUCAGAUGCACGAAGGCUUGGUUGCAGUGGCUAUUUUAUUUUGUUUACUGGUAUUCAGGUGUGUUUCUUUCGUUUGGUGCUGCCCUGCUUUACCAUAUGCUACUUGACUCAUAUUUCUCUCCUCGCUUCUACUCUUGCGCUUUGCAGAAUCUUGGAUUUGGUAUCCUUGUCCUGGGCUAUUGUUCUGUGCUCAGCUGCAUGUUUUGAGAUUUGGUUUGGUAGCAUUAGUCUUUUGAGGUUGCAGGCUUGCAGCCGGAACCUUCACACACUAAAAUAAUUAGGAAUUAGGAAAUCUGAGAACUGAUUCACUGUUGUUUUAGUCAAUACACCAUUCUUUUUUUGGAAACUUGAAACUAACUACAUUUGGUUUAACCUCAUGUUUUUUCAGCUUAGAAUUACAAAAUCUGUAACAUAUAAAGGUAUAGAAUUACAGUUCACGGUAUGAAGUGAUGUUACAGUUCAGACCUAAGUUCUGUAUGAAAUGAUGUGUUUUCAGCAAGUAUUUGUUGCCUGAGAAGGAAAAUUACGUGUUGACAUGUGACAUGCAUAUGUGGUUUUUCUCAAAGCAUGUUUUGAACUUGGCUUAAUUUCUUGGGUU
Non-coding RNA from Lolium perenne, 1945 nucleotides. Lineage: Eukaryota; Viridiplantae; Streptophyta; Magnoliopsida; Poales; Poaceae. The record is from RefSeq and is a predicted model, not a curated record.